Molecule: ribosomal RNA, 255 nt
Filed under: uncultured bacterium
Lineage: Bacteria
Description: partial 16S ribosomal RNA
Rfam family: Bacterial small subunit ribosomal RNA
Source: RNAcentral
UACGUAGGGUGCAAGCGUUGUCCGGAAUUAUUGGGCGUAAAGAGCUCGUAGGCGGUCUGUCGCGUCGGCUGUGAAAACUCGGGGCUCAACCCCGAGCCUGCAGUCGAUACGGGCAGACUAGAGUGCUGUAGGGGAGACUGGAAGUUCCUGGUGUAGCGGUGAAAUGCGCAGAUAUCAGGAGGAACACCGGCGGUGUAGACGGCUUUCUUGGACCGUAGCUGACGCUGAGACACGAAAGCGUGGGUAGCAAACAGG